This 253-nucleotide ribosomal RNA is filed under the name uncultured bacterium. RNAcentral describes it as "partial 16S ribosomal RNA". It matches the Rfam family "Bacterial small subunit ribosomal RNA", at positions 524 to 776 of the family's 1533-position model. The record is from RNAcentral.
UACGUAGGGGGCAAGCGUUGUCCGGAAUCAUUGGGCGUAAAGAGCGUGUAGGCGGUCCGGUAAGUCGGCUGUGAAAGUCCAGGGCUCAACCCUGGGAUGCCGGUCGAUACUGCCGGACUAGAGUUCGGAAGAGGCGAGUGGAAUUCCCGGUGUAGCGGUGAAGUGCGCAGAUAUCAGGAAGAACACCCGUGGCGAAGGCGGCUCUCUGGGACGGUACUGACGCUGAGACGCGAAAGCGUGGGGAGCGAACAGG